GAUAGCCUUGAUGGAAAAAAAAGGAAUUGUUAAUAAUUGACUCCUUGUGUGAUGAGAUCAGAUAUGAAAGGACAUGCCUGAGGAAUUGGAGAAAGCGUGGAGGACUACUGCAUAUACUGCAACUGUAUCAACUGUGAAAGAGAAAAUGAGGAUUGCACAAUGGUCCAGUGUGAUUCUUGCAAGAGGUGGGCACAUAUACCCUGCAUUACAGAAGGAACCAAUCAAAAAAACCUGACAGAUGAGAAGAAAGAGUACAACUGCAAGAAAUGUGCAUAGUUCACUUCAUUACCCCCCAAAAAAACCCAAUAGAAAAACCCAUAGUUUAA
This is a long non-coding RNA of Mauremys reevesii (Reeves's turtle), 326 nucleotides long. RefSeq lists it as uncharacterized. The transcript is spliced from 3 exons. The record is from RefSeq and is a predicted model, not a curated record. NCBI's taxonomy places the organism in Eukaryota, Metazoa, Chordata, Testudines, Geoemydidae.